Molecule: ribosomal RNA, 468 nt
Filed under: uncultured bacterium
Lineage: Bacteria
Description: partial 16S ribosomal RNA
Rfam family: Bacterial small subunit ribosomal RNA (bases 20-332)
Source: RNAcentral
GACGAACGCUGGCGGCGUGCUUAACACAUGCAAGUCGAACGGAAAGGCCCUGCUUUUGUGGGGUGCUCGAGUGGCGAACGGGUGAGUAACACGUGAGUAACCUGCCCUUGACUUUGGGAUAACUUCAGGAAACUGGGGCUAAUACCGGAUAGGAGCUCCUGCUGCAUGGUGGGGGUUGGAAAGUUUCGGCGGUUGGGGAUGGACUCGCGGCUUAUCAGCUUGUUGGUGGGGUAGUGGCUUACCAAGGCUUUGACGGGUAGCCGGCCUGAGAGGGUGACCGGCCAAAGGGGGAGGGAGAGAGGGCAGAGACGGAAAGGGGGGGAAGGAGGGGGAAAUAGGGAAGAAGGGGGGGAAGCAGGAGGGAGAAAGCCAGGGGGGGGAAUGAGGGAUUGGGGGGGGAAAACAGAUUGCGCCGGGGAAGAAGGGAGAGUGAGGGAAAGGGAAAAAAAAGAACCGGCAAACUACGUG